AGCAAAGCAGACAGCCCGAUGCAGGGCUCGAACUCAUGAGCCCUGAGAUCAGGACCUGAGCCAAAGUCAGCCGCUCACCCACUGAGCCGCCCAGGUGUCCCCGGAAAGGCUCGUUUUUUACAUCAGAAUGGAGGUUCAGGGAGGCAGAGCCAGACUUGUUCCGAGUCCCAGAGCUCUAGGGUGAGGCCAGGAUUUGAACGUGACUUUGCCAGGCUGAUGCCCGUCUCGCCUCCCCCCAGCACGCCCGGGCUGCCUGCGAAGGCGAGGGAAGCGGACACCCGCCAUCAGAGAGGAUGCUUCUCCAACGGUGGCGUCUGGGCCAGUGGCGGCCAGCUCGCCGGGCUGUUUGCCAGGAAUGCAGAAUCUCAGGCCCCACCAGAGACCAGCUGAAUCUUGUCUUUCAACAGUCUCCCCAGGAUGACUGGUGUGCACGAUUUAGCCACACAGCCAUAUUUUUAACCACCGGGAAAGGUCACCCAGCUCAAAAUCAAGAUGUCGUGGCUCAAGACCGUGGGCAGGUGGAUAUCUAAAAGGUUUUUCUGCUCAGAGAAGCCUGAGAAAUGUUGGGAAACACAACGAGAAGCAGGCUUCCUUACUCCAGCACUCGUCCAAGUGAAUCAAGGAGCCACUGACAACAGAAAUGGCUUCCUCAGGGAAAGUUUUAUUAUCUCGCUGCAGAGAGAGAGAGAGAGAGAGAGAGAGAGAGUCGGGACUGGUUGAUUCAGCAACUAACCAUUGUCACUGAGGACUUGGUUCUGCUUCUGUUUCUCCAUCUUCAGGCUAGCCUCCUCAUGGUGCACUAUGGCUGCUGUUGAGCCAGGCAUCAAGUCCCAAAGCCCAGGGGGCAGCAGAGAGAAUACCCUUUCCUCACCGCUAUGUGUAAAGACAAGGCAAGCUUCCCACAGCC
Long non-coding RNA from Panthera uncia (snow leopard), 907 nucleotides. RefSeq lists it as uncharacterized. Lineage: Eukaryota; Metazoa; Chordata; Mammalia; Carnivora; Felidae. The record is from RefSeq and is a predicted model, not a curated record. The transcript has 3 exons.